This 387-nucleotide ribosomal RNA is filed under the name Triticum aestivum (bread wheat). RNAcentral's name for it is "partial small subunit ribosomal RNA". The record is from RNAcentral. Lineage: Eukaryota; Viridiplantae; Streptophyta; Magnoliopsida; Poales; Poaceae.
AUGUCUGCUAGGCUCUCACCGAGCUGUACUCGAUGCCCAAUGGGGCACAAGCUCCGACUGAGGAGGGCGAGGCGAGCGGGGGCGAGAGCCAGGAAGAGGAGGAAUGGGACUCGGACGUUGCAGAGGAUGACGACGACGAUGAUGAUGACGACGGCGAUGACGAUGACGUUGAGGCCGAGGAAGAAGAGGAGGAGGAGGUCGUACCACCGCGCUCAGAAAGGCGAUCGAAGCUUGUCCACGACCCUUCGUCUGAACGUGGCAAGGGGGUUGCGACCGUUGUUCAGUCGACCAAGCGCCCUCGGACCACCUCUCCGGUGCCGACUGAAAAGGCACCGAAGCAGCCCAGGGCGGCCUCGUCGAAGCCGAUCAAGCUCCUGCCGAAGAUGA